AGAGGGCAGGUCGGGCACCCAAGGUUUUAAAACGAAGAGUCGUAGGCUUAGGAACCUCACUUGUUCCUGGGCGGGACAGGGCAAGGCGGGCGUUCCUUUUCCUUUCUGUGUCUUUCCUGGUGCUACUCACUUGGGCCCAGGCUUGUGUCUUUAGGAGUAGUUGUGCCGAGGGAGCAAAAGUAAGGUAGCCGAUCGCCCGCCGCUCAAACCACCAUGGAAGACGGCCAUUGCUACGAGUUCGAGGAGGUCCUCACCAAGUUCGCCGUCAAGCAGGAAGUGGGUCUGUCCGAGGCCCAGGUCAAGGAGAACCAGGAGAAGUACGGCCCCAACGAACUGCCUGCUGAAGAGGGCAAAUCUCUCCUGCAGUUGAUUCUUGAGCAGUUCGAUGACCUCCUCGUCAAGAUCCUUCUGCUGGCUGCCAUCAUCUCCUUCGUGUUGGCUUGCUUCGAGGAGGGCGAAGAGACCGUGACGGCCUUUGUCGAGCCCUUCGUCAUUCUCCUUAUUCUCAUCGCUAAUGCCAUCGUCGGCGUGUGGCAGGAGCGCAAUGCCGAAUCCGCCAUCGAAGCCCUGAAGGAGUACGAGCCCGAGAUGGGCAAGGUCGUGCGCGCGAACAAGGCCGGCGUCCAGAAGAUCCGCGCCAAGGGCAUCGUCCCCGGAGACAUCGUUGAGAUCUCGGUUGGAGACAAGAUCCCCGCCGACCUGCGUCUGUGCAAGAUCUUCUCAACGACCCUGCGUAUUGACCAGUCCAUUCUCACUGGAGAGUCCGUCUCCGUCAUCAAACACACUGAUGCCAUCCCUGACCCCAAGGCCGUCAACCAGGACAAGAAAAAUAUUCUCUUCUCUGGCACAAACGUUGCUGCAGGCAAGGCUCGUGGCGUUGUCAUCGGCACUGGACUUAACACUGCUAUUGGUAAGAUCCGUACCCAAAUGGCAGAGACUGAGGAGAUCAAGACACCCCUGCAGCAGAAGCUUGAUGAGUUCGGUGAGCAGCUGUCCAAGGUCAUCUCCAUUAUCUGUGUUGCUGUCUGGGCCAUCAACAUUGGACACUUCAAUGACCCUGCUCAUGGUGGUUCAUGGAUCAAGGGUGCUAUCUACUACUUCAAGAUUGCUGUUGCUCUGGCUGUCGCUGCCAUCCCUGAGGGUCUCCCUGCUGUCAUCACCACUUGCCUUGCCCUUGGCACUCGUCGUAUGGCCAAGAAAAAUGCUAUUGUGAGGUCUUUGCCUUCUGUUGAGACUCUUGGUUGUACCUCUGUUAUCUGCUCAGACAAAACUGGCACACUCACCACCAACCAGAUGUCUGUCUCCCGCAUGUUCAUCAUGGAUAAGGUCGAAGGUAACGAUUGCUCUCUGCUGGAAUUCGAGAUCACUGGCUCCACCUACGAGCCCAUUGGUGACAUCUACCUCGGUGGUGCUAAGGUGAAGGGUGCUGACUUCGAAGGUCUGCAGGAACUCUCCACCAUUUCCUUCAUGUGCAAUGAUUCUUCCAUUGACUUCAAUGAAUUCAAGAAUAUGUUUGAAAAGGUUGGUGAAGCUACUGAGACUGCCCUGAUUGUGCUGGGUGAGAAGAUCAACCCCUACAGCCAGUCCAAGGUUGGUCUGGAUCGCCGCUCUGCUGCCAUUGUUGCCAAGCAGGACAUGGAGACUAAGUGGAAGAAGGAAUUCACCCUGGAAUUCUCCCGUGACCGCAAAUCCAUGUCCUCUUAUUGCGUGCCCCUCAAGCCUACCCGCCUGGGAACUGGACCCAAGAUGUUCUGCAAGGGCGCACCCGAGGGUGUUCUUGAACGUUGCACUCAUGUCCGCGUCGGUACCCAGAAGGUUCCCCUCACUGCUGGUGUUAGAGACAAGAUCUUGGCUGUUACCCGUGACUAUGGCUGUGGUCGUGACACUCUCCGCUGCUUGGGUCUUGCCACCAUUGACACCCCAAUGAAGCCUGAGGAUAUGGAUCUUGCUGACUCUACCAAGUUCUACACUUAUGAAGUCAACAUGACCUUCGUUGGUGUUGUUGGCAUGCUUGACCCGCCCCGCAAGGAAGUGCGUGACUCCAUUGAGAGGUGUCGUGAAGCUGGUAUCCGUGUCAUUGUCAUCACUGGAGACAACAAGGCCACUGCUGAAGCUAUCUGCCGCCGCAUUGGUGUAUUCCGUGAAGAUGAGGAUACUUUUGGCAAGUCAUACUCCGGUCGUGAAUUUGAUGAGCUCAGCAUCCCUGAACAGAGAAAUGCCUGCAUCAAUUCCCGUCUCUUCUCCCGUGUCGAGCCUUUCCACAAGUCAAAGAUUGUUGAAUACUUGCAGGGUGAGGGUGAGAUCUCUGCCAUGACUGGUGAUGGUGUGAAUGAUGCUCCUGCUCUGAAGAAGGCUGAGAUUGGUAUUGCCAUGGGUUCAGGCACUGCUGUGGCUAAGUCUGCCUCUGAGAUGGUGCUUGCUGAUGAUAACUUCUCUUCCAUUGUGGCUGCUGUUGAGGAAGGUCGUGCCAUCUACAACAACAUGAAGCAGUUCAUCCGUUACCUCAUUUCCUCCAACAUUGGUGAAGUUGUGUCCAUCUUCUUGACUGCUGCUCUUGGUCUCCCAGAGGCUCUCAUUCCUGUCCAGCUCUUGUGGGUCAACCUGGUUACUGAUGGUCUCCCUGCCACUGCCUUGGGCUUCAACCCCCCAGAUCUUGACAUCAUGGAGAAGCCCCCACGCAAGGCUGAUGAGUCUCUCAUCUCUGGCUGGCUCUUCUUCCGCUACAUGGCUAUUGGUGGCUAUGUUGGCUGUGCUACUGUCUUUGCUGCCUCCUGGUGGUUCAUGUAUGACCCCACUGGCCCUCAGCUCAACUACUACCAGCUGUCCCACCAUUUGUCCUGCUUGGGUGAUGAGAAGAACUUUGAAGGUCUGGAUUGCAACAUCUUCAGCCACCCAGCCCCCAUGACCAUGGCUCUUUCUGUGCUUGUCACCAUUGAGAUGCUCAACGCUCUUAACAGCUUGUCAGAGAACCAGUCACUCAUCGUGAUGCCCCCCUGGGUCAACAUCUGGCUGCUGGCGGCUAUGGCCCUCUCCAUGACCCUGCAUUUCAUCAUCUUGUACAUUGAUAUCCUUGGUACUGUGUUCCAGGUGAUGCCUCUCUCAACUGCACAGUGGAUAGCUGUAUUGAAGAUAUCCCUCCCUGUGUUGCUGCUGGACGAGACCCUCAAGUUCAUUGCCCGCAAGUACACUGAUGGUGAGAAUCCACUCUAUUCCUGCCACUGGACUGUGCUAGCCUGGGCUAUCUAUUUUGCCUAUAUCUGGAUAUACUUCUUCUAACCUCAGUCACCACCCUAACCUAUAUAUAUAUAUAUAUAUAUAUAUAUAUAUAUAUAUAUAUAUAUAUAUAUAUAUAUAUAUAUAUAUAUAUAUAUAUAUAUAUAUAUAUAUAUAUAUAUAUACACAUAUUUAUUUUUUCUUUAUUUUAUCUCCUAGUAUCUGUGUUCAUCUUUCACCCAUUUAUUUUUAUGAAGAAUUCAUAUAUGACUCCCCAUUCCUUCCCCCUCAUGGCAUUUAUGACACAGUUAGGUACCUGACAAGGCAGUUCUGAAGUUGUAACUUUUAUGAUAAUGAUAUACCAGAGAUCUUCACAAAUAUUUUUUGCCUUGUCAUGGUAGAUCAUAUUUUCAUCCAGUGUAGUUAGUUAUUUUUACUUGAAUUAGGUGUAAGUGUUAGAAAUCAUUCCCCAUGUUAGCACUGCUGUUUAAAAGUGAAAGGGAAAUCGAAGCACAAAAAGAUAGCUGUAUCUUCUUGUGUGUAUAACUUGCUGUUCCUCCCCGUCUGCCCCCAAAGCCCGUGAGACUAACCCCCUUCCCACAUGAAUCCAGUUAUUAUUGGUAGAAUGCCGAGUGAAGUGCAAGGAUUUCUUGAUAAACUAAUACAGUAUGUAACUGUUGAAGCAUCUUGAUGACGACUGAGAAUGUCGUCAAGAAGCUCUGUCUGUGUCACUAAAGAUCACCUCUGUUGUGUCAGCCAAAACUAACUCUUUAUGCAAAUCAUUUUUCACUUUUUCAACAUUUUACUAUACAUUUUACAUACAAAAUGGAAAAAACGCAUGUGAAGUGUUGGAAGUGUUUAAAAAAAAUACAGGUAUUGGUAUCCUAUUUUGCUGAAGGAAAAAGGAAAAUAGAUAAGUGUUACUUGUGAUAAAAAAUAUAUUUUGUGGUAUUAACUGUUGGUGCAAGGUCAUACAGCCUAUUUAAACUUUUGAUUCUUUUCACGUUAAAAAGUGAAUAAAAAGAGAAUAGAGGACAAAAUAAUUGGUCACUGCGUCAUUCCAUUUAUGUAUUUUUCUUUUCUUUUCUUUUUUAUGGUCCUUUAUAAGCUGUGAUGUCUUUACGAGUUUUGUUAAGAAAAUAAUAAAUUGUUGUUAAAAAGUUGAA
RNAcentral lists this unclassified non-coding RNA (4379 nucleotides) under Penaeus japonicus. RNAcentral's name for it is "calcium-transporting ATPase sarcoplasmic/endoplasmic reticulum type-like, transcript variant X1". Lineage: Eukaryota; Metazoa; Arthropoda; Malacostraca; Decapoda; Penaeidae. The record is from RNAcentral.